This 411-nucleotide ribosomal RNA is filed under the name uncultured bacterium. RNAcentral's name for it is "bacterial SSU rRNA". It matches the Rfam family "Bacterial small subunit ribosomal RNA", at positions 8 to 422 of the family's 1533-position model. The record is from RNAcentral.
AGAGUUUGAUCCUGGCUCAGGACGAACGCUGGCGUCGUGCUUAACACAUGCAAGUCGAACGGUGAAGUCCCUUCGGGGGCGGAUCAGUGGCGAACGGGUGAGUAACACGUGGGCAAUCUGCCCCUCACUGUGGGAUAACUCCGGGAAACCGGGGCUAAUACCGCAUAUGAAGCCUGGCGGCAUCGCCGGGUUUGGAAAGUUUUUCGGUGAGGGAUGAGCCCGCGGCCUAUCAGCUUGUUGGUGAGGUAAUGGCUCACCAAGGCGACGACGGGUAGCCGGCCUGAGAGGGCGACCGGCCACACUGGGACUGAGACACGGCCCAGACUCCUACGGGAGGCAGCAGUGGGGAAUAUUGGGCAAUGGGCGAAAGCCUGACCCAGCGACGCCGCGUGCGGGAUGAAGGCCUUCGGG